GCUUAUGACAUGCCAUGAAGACACUAAAUUCCAUUUGAUCUUAGAAGCGAAGCAGUGUCAGCCCUGGUUAGAACUUGGUUGGGAGCUCACCAAUGAAUGCCGGGAGCCGUAGGCA
Molecule: ribosomal RNA, 115 nt
Filed under: Anolis carolinensis (green anole)
Lineage: Eukaryota; Metazoa; Chordata; Lepidosauria; Squamata; Anolidae
Source: RNAcentral